RNAcentral lists this transfer RNA (70 nucleotides) under Plestiodon capito. RNAcentral's name for it is "tRNA-Thr". It matches the Rfam family "tRNA". From Rfam's summary of the family: Transfer RNA (tRNA) molecules are approximately 80 nucleotides in length. Their secondary structure includes four short double-helical elements and three loops (D, anti-codon, and T loops). The record is from RNAcentral. Lineage: Eukaryota; Metazoa; Chordata; Lepidosauria; Squamata; Scincidae.
GCCUUAGUAGCUUAACCAACAAGCACUGGUCUUGUAAACCAAAGAUGGGGACUAAAAUCCCCCUAAGACA